GCUCAGCCCCAGCCGCGGGCAGCCCCGGGCGGCGCAGGAAGCCCCGCCGGCCCUGCACCGCUCCCGCGCCGCGGCUCCGGCGGUGAUAAAGUGCAGCAUAAGGCUCAGGAGAAGAAGCAAGUGACUAAACAGAAUUAUCUCAGGAGGAGAGCAGCCUUCAAAGUCAGCACAGCCUUCUCAAAUCUGUUAUGUGAUAGUUAAAUCACCAUACUGAUGUGGGCGGCAGAAGAACCAGAAUAGAAUAAAGAAAUAUUAAACCAGCACAUUGCCUGUCCUAGUGAAGGGACACACAAGAAAAUGUUAUGGUGGGAAAGUCUUGUGAAAGAGGAAGCCAAGAUAUGAAAGACAAUUUUUCUAGUUUACUUUGGACUGUCUUACAAAUAUCUGCUCCUGUGUUUAUACUCUGCAGACCCAACUGCAUAAUUUCACAUGGCGCAGGAUCACAUUAGAAGGCAACAACAGCAGAAUGAAGCCAAUACUGAUGCUGUGGCAAGUCAACCAUGGGACAAGGUUCACACAUUCAAAACUAUUGCUUCAUCACUCAUAGUCAACUGAAUACUGCAGCACUGGCAUUCACAGACUUAUGCUGAUGCUCUAAUUGGUUGCUCAGCUUUAAUUAUAGGCAGACGUGGCAGGAACAUGAAUGAAGUCCUCAUUGCAGAGGUGCUUGGAGAGCGAGUGUUCCAGCAGCAACAACCAGCAAGUGACUGCUUCCACCAGGAGAAUCCUACCUUCCCAAAGACACUGAAGCCAAGGAGCCAGUAGGAUCCUGGCAACGAGAUGGGCACAGAGAAACACAGGCUUCUCCUCCACACAACUCACUCCUUGUGGACAGUCAAGCAUCACUCUGGGAAGAAGGUGUUGAUGAGGAAGCCCAAACCUGAAGCUCCAGAGCCAAACCACUACCUUGGUGUCACCACUUGGUACGAGCUGCCAUGUACUGGCUUGCACAACAGCUUCCUCACUUUGUAUGCAUGGCUUUUACCAUCUCCCUCUUCAGACUAAAGAGCCACCAUAUCAUUUAAUAUUUACUACAGCUUCUGACAGUCUGGAUCCUGGCAAAACUGAGCACAAGUCCUCUGAAAAAGUAGAACUCUACCCAGUGGGAAAAUUUUCUGGCCACCUCUGUGGCAUCCUGCAGACUCUGCUGGAGGGAUAGGGAGAUCCACAGCAUCACAGGGCAGCUUGUCACAUCAGUGUGGGUUCAGGUAAUGCCUGAAGAAACUCUAUGAAGAUAUUAUCUGGGAAUGUAUUUUGUAGAGGUAUACUGUAAUACACACGUGCACCACAUUUAGUAAACAAUGUGAUGGGAUUUCUUUGACAGAUGUACAGCACUUAAAUAAAAACAAGUUCCUACCACCAUAGGGUGGCCUGUCUCACCUCAGGCACGUGAAUUACUGUCAAUCUUGAGCAGGGAUUGUUAUUGCCAGCGCUGCAUUUCUAAAACAAAUUUUCAAGAACACAUAGUCAUCAUAAUGUCCAGGCUCACAGUUCAUACAGUCACAGAACCAUUGAAGUCCGAAGGGAUCUUAGGAGCCACUCAAGCUGCCUCCUCUAAGGUUACUUAUUGCAUCUUCAAGUUAUAUCCUUUCCAGUUUUUCUCCUUUUUUUUUUUUUUUUCUUUUAAUUACUUAAAAAUACUUUCAUUCUGUGCAAGAGGAAAUACCUUUUUGCCCCUGAUUUGUUGAGGUCGGUUCAAUAGACCUGACAAGUGUCAACCAGUCAGGAGGAAAUUCCAGCAGGAGUUACAUAAAACCCUGAAAACAGGCAUGUUUAGAGAGGGAAUUCUGAUGCUGAGCCAUGGUUGUGUCAGUACAGGUAUUGCUAGACUUAAAAGAGACAGCACUACAUUAGUAACCCUCAUCUGAAUGACCCCAGGUCAGUCCUGGUUGUCUGAGAUGUACAUGUAAAUAUUGUCACAUCAAAGAAAAGGGAGAAAUUAUUACACCUACAUCCUCCACCUUAAUUUUUAAACCAGUUCAUCCAUUGGUGCUGUCUCUAAUCAAAAUUCUACUUCCCAAAAAAAAGUCUGCACUAGAUAUAUUAUGGCAGGCAGAGCAAUCCCUUCCUCCUGUUGUGCAGCAACAGAUCAUUCAAGACAGGAGCCUGGGCUGUGCUGAAGGCAGAUAAAAUUACAGUCAGUUCCCAAAAUAAAUGUCAAAAAAGCAGGCUCCUUUUCUCUCCACAUCAUGGAAGCCAUAUUGUUAGACAGCUCUUUCCUCACCUUCCCAGGCUUAAGAAGGAGACCUUGCCUUCAGAACCCUUUCUUAUUCCUCUCCACAUUACCUGGUCCUCCAAACAAGCUGCAUUUGUCUCAGAAAUGUAACCUUUGUGGGGAAGGGGAGUUUUCACAAUGUGAUAUCAGAAUUUGCAUGGAAGUCUAGGACAAAAUUGGUGUAUGAUUGCUUCUUUUCUUCCAGACAUGCAUGCUGAGGAGAAACUCAGCUCUACAUGAGUAAGCAGAUUUUACACCCUCAGUAUAUGAGCAUGGAGCUGGUGCAAUAGAGAUUCCCAUGUUCAGCAGAUGGCAAAAAAGCCCCAUGCAGUGACCCACAGUGGCAAUAAACAGAGAAGCUCUGAUCCUUCAUUGCUCACAAGUUGUGAGCAAUAUCCUCAGACCUUACAAAACCAUCCCCUCUGCCCACCAGAGUACGGCAGCAGGGCUCCAGGAACCAGAGUUCUGAAGCCUUUCCUGGGAAAUGGGCACACCAAAGUCUCCAGGGGUGUUAGGCAGAAGCCAGAGGCUCAGUAGUGCUGAGCACCUCCAGGGUUAAGCACCACAGGGGUGAUGGAAACCUGGACCUUCCACUGUGGUCUCCUGAGUUAGAAUACCAUGUCCACAGUCUUCCAGGUGACAAAAAAUAGGUACGGAUAUGGCUGGCCAGAGAGCAGGACUUUUCUGCUUUGCAUGACAGCCAAGCCUUUCUCUAUCACCACUUGGUGUGAGGACAGAGCUGGGAGCAAGUUCCAGACUCCUGGUCUCAAGGACACAGACCCUUCAGAUGAUGCAAACUUGACUUCAGCAGCAGUUUGUUGCCAGGGGAACUGUCCACUUCCUAAUGUGUUACAAAAAAAUAAAAAUCUCUCUCUCCCGCUGUCUUUUUCAGUGUGUUUAGAGAGUGUCAAUCCUGAGGCUAGCAGCCCCCAGGCUUCCUCUUCCAGCUCCCUCCAAAGUGCCAGUAACGAAGCAAUCAGGACAGUUCAGCAAUCAGUGUCUUGAUAUAAUCCUUCCUCUUUGUCAGUCAGUAGGAAAUAAAUUACUCACUGGAGCCUGCUACAAAGAUACCACCCAGGCACAGAUAACAUCCCUAAAAAGGGAUGUGGAAGACAAAGACUAAUCAAGGAUUCUGCAGCUGCCAGAGGAAGGUAUUUUCUAUAGCAAAGAAAAUACCUCAUUUUUCUGAGUAUUCCCCAUGUGAUUUUACCUUCAUGCAAAUUGUAAGCAUAGAGACUGGAGCCCAAGAGAUCUCUAGAGGUUCUGUGAAUUUUCAACAUCAUUAAGCCUAAGGUUAAAUGAAAUUGGAAGCAAAAUAUAAGCCUUCUGAUGUCCAAUAUCUUACCUAACAGCUACAUGAGGUGAAGGAGAGGUAUAAGUGGCAAGGAGAAAGGCCAUAAAAAAUUUCAUCUUUUGACACAACCUGAAUGGCAAAGCUGGAAUGAAAAUUACAAGACUGAACCAGCAGUCACAGCAGCUCUUCUUGAUAAAAUGGGUGUAGCUUAGAAAAAGUUUCUAUGCUCUAAAUAUUUUCGUAAGUAUUUGGCUGAAUAAUGAACACACUGCAAUACUACUUUUAACUUCACCACCUCGUAGAAGAGGAUGAAGCCCCAGCUGAUUCUGGACCUAACUACUCAGAGUACCCACAUCAGUGUUUGGGAAAAUACAGAUUUUUUUGUUGUUAUUGUGAUGUUUGAGGACAAGCUUUACCAAUUUCUUUCUAUUAGAGGUACCUAUUUGAUAUGUGCAUAGUCCCAUAUGAAUUCUGGUUUGGUAAUUUAAGAAAUCUAUUAGCAAACUGCUCUGUUCAAAGCUGCCUAUUGAUGAACAUUUAGGUAGUACACAUUGAUUUCAAAAAGGUAAUAAAUGUAUUUUUACUCCAACAUUUAGCUGCUUAACUCUGCAAUUUAUCUCAUCACUCCUCUAAAAAAGUUGAUGAGACUGACAGCUCAUUUUUAUCAUCUUCCUCAUGAUGGUAGAAUUAGAAUUCAUCACCUUGAGAAGACACGAGGAUAUUCAAGUUGUGGGGAUUUUAUGUUUAAGGUUAUAAUUUUUCUUUGAAGCACCAUGUCCAAAGACUUCAAAAAGAAUUUUCCUCUGCAGCAAGGAAGGGAUGAAGGAACAGUGGGGAAAAAAAAUAGCUGUAACCUUGCAAGACAGGUUGGUUGAUCUCACAGUAUAAAGAAUACCUUGGAAGCUGUACGUGAAUUUAUCUUAGUGUUUACUGGAGCCAAACUCUGUGCAACCAAAGAUUUAGUAACUGCAUUUGCAAAUGACUGCUGAGUUGCAAUCCAGACCGUAUUUCUUCAUCAUACUUUUGCUGUCAUACCUUUUUUCAUGCCAUGUGUUAAAGGAAAACCAA
This is a long non-coding RNA of Parus major (Great Tit), 4577 nucleotides long. RefSeq lists it as uncharacterized. The transcript has 3 exons. Lineage: Eukaryota; Metazoa; Chordata; Aves; Passeriformes; Paridae. The record is from RefSeq and is a predicted model, not a curated record.